This is a long non-coding RNA of Chelonus insularis, 825 nucleotides long. RefSeq lists it as uncharacterized. The transcript has 7 exons. The record is from RefSeq and is a predicted model, not a curated record. Lineage: Eukaryota; Metazoa; Arthropoda; Insecta; Hymenoptera; Braconidae.
UUCACUUUUCAGACGCGUCACGUUCGCUCUCUAAUGUCUUCGCGAAAUAUAUCUUUUUUCCGAAAUAAAUUCUUUUAAUAUUACGAACAAAUGUAACAAAAAUGUAAUAGCAAUUGCAUUGACUCAUUAUCUGCACGUUUAAUGCAUUGAUGCAUUUCUAAUCAAUGGAUGUUUCUUUCAAAUAAGAUAUCAAUGUCGGUGAGAUCGAAUGAAAUCAGUUGCUGUCGGAGUACUGCCUGCUUUUUUAGCUGAUUGGAUUGCUGUUCGGAUUGCGGCAAAUGAUGUUGAAGAACAAGAAGUAAUAACUGUGAAGAAUUCGUUGCCACUAAUAAAUGAAUAUUAAUAAGUCUUAUUGAUAUUUCGUGCACCGGUAGACUUGCAGAUGUUGCAUACUGUGUAACAGUAAGAGAGUAUGGUGGUUGAAUGACUAUUUGUCAAUACUUCCUUGGAAACCAAUUCUCUUCUGGUUACGAUCUUGUAUCGAAUUUUUAUGACGAAUGAACCAACUAUAACGAAAACAAGCUCUACCAGCUCCUCAGCUUUGCAGAUGAUUGAUGGCAUCAACGUGACGUGUCGAAGUAUCAAUUAAUUGUUCUCCAGCCUGGUAUAAAUACUGGGUGUCAGAUCAAUUAUUGGAAUUGAAUUAACCACAGCAAUUUGUCAUUAACAAUAUAAAUGACUCAAAGAAAAAAAUGGACAACUUAUCUGCUUAAUGCUCAACUAAUCUACCGUCUUACUGCAUUUAAUCAGGUUGAUGAUGUGUGAUAGAAGAGGCAACUAAAUAAAGCUGAUCAAGGUAACUGUUCUAUCAGCGCUAUCUCCAAG